UUUCCGUAGGUGAACCUGCGGAAGGAUCAUUAUCGAGACGUUUGGCCGCGAGGCCGACUCUCCCGUUCUAUGUCAUCAAGCUCCGGACGCGUCGCGAGACGGGUGCCGGUUCAGAUCGUUUCGGUGGAGGCGUUGUUCGAGAUGGGGGCGACCGUAUCCCUCUCGAGCGACCGCCACCGCAGGAGGGGUGGGCAAUUCUUGCAGAAAUGAAGUCUGAAGACACAUCAAUGAAGCAAAACUUUCAACAACGGAUCUCUUGGCUCUGGCAUCGAUGAAGAACGCAGC
This 285-nucleotide unclassified non-coding RNA is filed under the name uncultured fungus. RNAcentral describes it as "sequence contains ITS1, 5.8S rRNA gene". The stretch from base 237 to 285 matches the Rfam family "5.8S ribosomal RNA", at positions 1 to 49 of the family's 154-position model. The record is from RNAcentral. Lineage: Eukaryota; Fungi.